AUCUUUACCCCUUUCUCAUCAGGUAUAAUGGGUUCGAAAGUAUGCUUUCUUCUCUUUCUACUGGUCAUAGGCUAUACUUGUGUAGAGGCCAGAACUUUGGAGGCCAUGGAUAUAAUGGCUACUAUAGACGACCAUAAGCAGCCAAGCAAAGUCUCCGGAAAAGAAAUUCCAAGGGAUGAACAAUUGUGCACUUUAUGUGAAGAGUUUACCUCCCAAGCCAUAUCUUAUCUUAGUGAAAAUGAGACCCAGACUGAGAUCAUAAAUGGGCUUCAUGAAACAUGCUCGCAGUUGCACUCUUUUAAAAAGAAGUGUACUUUGUUGGUUGACUACUAUGCACCUCUUUUCUUUACCGAAGUUGCUACAAUACUCCCGGAGCAGUUAUGUGGAAAGGUGAAUCUGUGUGAGAAAAUGUCACUAGUUCAUCUAUUAAAGCGUGAUGAUGCUUGUGAACUCUGCCAUCAAACUCUUAUUAAGAUUCUGUUGAGACUGAGA
This 492-nucleotide unclassified non-coding RNA is filed under the name Hevea brasiliensis (rubber tree). The record is from RNAcentral. Lineage: Eukaryota; Viridiplantae; Streptophyta; Magnoliopsida; Malpighiales; Euphorbiaceae.